This 988-nucleotide long non-coding RNA is filed under the name Bos indicus x Bos taurus (hybrid cattle). Its description in RNAcentral is "lncRNA (ENSBIXG00000004676.1)". Lineage: Eukaryota; Metazoa; Chordata; Mammalia; Artiodactyla; Bovidae. The record is from RNAcentral.
UUCUAUAUUCUUCUAUUGGAGAAUUUAUACAUAGAUGUAGUAAUUGCUAUUUUUUUAUGAAGUCCUUACUAUGUGGCAGGCACUGUGCUGACUGGUUUACGCAAACAUUCUUUACUAAUCUCACAACAAACCUGUGAUUGAUGGAAUUACUGUCCCUAUUUUACAGAUAUGGAGACCAGGACUUGGAGAGGCUAAGAAAUACCUUCAAGAUCAAAUAAGGACAGUGACAAGAUUCAUACCCAUCUGCCUGAGUCUUAAGCAUUUUGCUACUUUGAACCUAGGUCCAUCCUGCUCAUCUUUAGAGCCUCGCUGUUCUUUAUCCCCGGUAGCCAGCAGGGUACUGAGCCCUUGGAUCUCAGCCACAGACCUUGUGCUCCCAACCCAUGGGCUUCCCAGAGAGACCGCAGGUUGGCUGCCAACACCCUGAAGACAGCAAGGCUGCCCAGUCCCCCAAGGCCUGCCAAGGACAGAUUCUACCUGCAACGUGGACCCAGAGAGUCAUUCUCGAACAAAGGAACCCCAGAGGCCUGAACUUACUCAGAAUUGACUUCUGCGUCCUUCUAUUAUUGGGACUGACAUUUGAAGUAGGUUGAAGCCAUACAAUUUUGCUAUUUAGAGGAUUCAGCUUAAGGUAACGGUCAAGUUGAAUAAUUCAAGAUCAAAGGGUUUGGGGCUUCCCUGGCGGUACAACAGUUAAGAAUCCACCUGCCAGUGAAGAGGAAAUGAUUUUGAUCCCUGGCCCGGGAAGAUUCCACCUACCACCUGGCAACUAAGCCAAUGCGGAACAACCACUGAUUCUGAUGCUGCAGCUACUGGAGCCUGCGUGCCUACAGUGUGGUCUGCAGCAAGAAAAGCCACCGCAAGAGAAGCCCGUGCUCGGCAAUGAGGAGUAGCUUCUGCUCACUGCAACUAGAGAGAGCCUGCCUGUAGCAGUGAAGACCCAGUGCAACCAAAAAGAAAUAAACAAAUUUUUAAAAAAGAAAAACCA